This 253-nucleotide ribosomal RNA is filed under the name uncultured bacterium. Its description in RNAcentral is "partial 16S ribosomal RNA". It matches the Rfam family "Bacterial small subunit ribosomal RNA", at positions 524 to 776 of the family's 1533-position model. The record is from RNAcentral.
UACAGAGGUCUCAAGCGUUGUUCGGAUUCAUUGGGCGUAAAGGGCGCGUAGGCUGCGGGGCAAGUCGGGUGUGAAAUCUCAGAGCUCAACUCUGAAACUGCACUCGAUACUGCUUUGCUUGAGGACUGGAGAGGAGAUUGGAAUUCACGGUGUAGCAGUGAAAUGCGUAGAUAUCGUGAGGAAGACCAGUGGCGAAGGCGGGUCUCUGGACAGUUCCUGACACUGAGGCACGAAGGCCAGGGGAGCAAACGGG